UUUAGGCUCUUAUUAUAUUUUAUUAUAACUGGUUACGGUUCAGUAGAUUUUCGGGUUUUAG
RNAcentral lists this transfer RNA (61 nucleotides) under Clavinema parasiluri. RNAcentral describes it as "tRNA-Arg". The record is from RNAcentral. Lineage: Eukaryota; Metazoa; Nematoda; Chromadorea; Rhabditida; Philometridae.